RNAcentral lists this long non-coding RNA (3479 nucleotides) under Acyrthosiphon pisum (pea aphid). RNAcentral describes it as "uncharacterized LOC100569755, transcript variant X1". Lineage: Eukaryota; Metazoa; Arthropoda; Insecta; Hemiptera; Aphididae. The record is from RNAcentral.
AAUUAUUUUUAUUUUUUCAUUUACAGAUACAUACUUUUGAUCCAAAUUAACAUUCAUCGAUGAAUGACGGCGACAGCAAUGGCAUAAGUUUAGUGACAUCUAGGAUAGUUUAGAACGCUGUGAGGGUGGCAGUGAUGGACCCGGCGGCGUGAAGGUCCUGUGGUUGGCGAUUGAUUUCGUUUGGCCUCAGCCCUCGCAUCACCGUCGGUAGUACCUAUACGAUAUCACGUGUAGGUUUCUAAACAUCGCUGUCGCGCAAACGGCAUUGGCGAAGACAAUGGUUUGACGCGUCUAAGGCCAGUGGCGAUUUAUUUCGUCACUCGCGCCUUUGCCCAUGGCGUGUCUACUAGCGUCCGUAUGUGCAUUGGUGGUUGAAUAUCUACCGUCCCCUUGACUGGCCCGUGCUGGUCAUGGACGACGGUAGACUUACGUGGCCGAAGAAACUGUUGAAGUCGAAUUUCGACCGCUUUAGCUUUAUUGCCCGUAAGCGGCAUCACGUUAACGAGCUGUCGAAUGACCGUGGAACUCUGACCGAUAUCGGCUUCACGGCUGGUAUUGCGACGGCUGCGCACCGGUGGUAGAUAACCGCGUACCUUUGCACCGUUGGCAGCAGCCUAGACGUCCAAUGGCGGUUGUAAAACCGUCGUCACCACGGUUAGCGUUUCGCUGAUUGAGGAUGACGGCUGUCCAGUGUUUCAAAAGCCCAAGGUGAAGAUGAAUUUCAUCCACCUGAGCCUAUGAUAAUGCACUGGCGCCGUCGGACGUCAUUCAAAUAGGUUGUUGUAAAAACCGUUGUUGUAGUUGGAGCAAAGCUAGCUGUAUGCUGGUGGAGUGAUGACCAAUGAUGGACCAAUUGCGUAGAGGGCCGCAAACCUUCGGCCAUCGGGGGGCUCGAACGUAGCUAUGCACGCGUCAAUCAAUAGCGCUGCACUCCGACUAGGUGGUUCACCAGCGGUUGUGGGCGCUGAGCCAGGGGUAGAACGUAAUUGAGUUGAGAACUUUACUCCCCCCCCCCCCCACAGAGAAGAUGGAUAUCGUCUUCUCGCUCAUCGCGAAACAUUCUUAUCGGUUUCCCUGGUAGUGAGGUGGUAUAAUUUAACAACCGAGCACACAUAAAACCGCAUACAUACAAACAAACACUUUUCACAAGCAUUUCGACAAAUUAUUUAAGAACCAAAGUAUUUUACUUAGUAUUGAGAAUAGGAUAUCCCUGUUCCUAAUACUCUCUAAAAUACAAAAAGUUAGCAUGUAACUUGGCCGAAAAAUAAAAGUUAUAAAAAUAAAUAAAUAUAAUUUCAUCGGGUUCUAAAAAUGAUCGUGUGUAUUUUACCGUUCAAUUCUCGAGGUUUUAGAACAAUACAAAACAUUCAAACGGUCCGCGAUUAUUUUAUUAUAAAAUCCCAGAAGUAAUUUCCAGAUUACUUUUAUCAAGAACAUGAGCAAAACACACCUGCAUUUCUUGGAUUUCAAAUAGGAUGUGCCUAUUGCUGUCUUUUAUUUUUCAAAUAUUCAAUCAAUAAUAUAAUAAAUUAAGUGAGUACUUUUACGGUUUCAAAUACUAUUAGUAUUAGGUUAGACUGUCUUGAAAAUGAAAUAUAUUUUUAGAUACCUAUUAUAUAUAUUUAUAAUAAAUAUAUAAUAAUGACUUAAUAGGUUUUUAAUAGCUAUCAAUACACGAACAUUCAUCUUGUACUUAGCAACUUUUAUUAUAUAACAGUGUUAAUGAACCUAGGGACCUAUAUAGUUAUAUUGUAUAUGGAAUUUGGUAGUAUUCUCGAGUUAAAGCUAAAAUUACUAAGAGAGGUAAUAAUUUUAAUAAAUAUACAUAUAUGAUUAAUUCCUAAACCUUUGAGGUGACAGCUGACAUCAUCGUCAAAAAAAAUUUUCUUUCAAUUUAUCAGGAUAAAUAAAAGUAUAGUUGCGGGAACAAAAUGUAUAUGAUACAAUGAGAUAGAAAUUAAUAAUUAUUAUAUUGGUUGAAACAGAAUUAUAACCAUCAUCUAAACCUAAAUACAUGCAGAAUUAUCUAUAUUAUAUCAACAUAAUCGCCCUGGUGAUUGGCGUUAAACUCACCUCUCAUUCAAACAUACUUAGUUUGAUACAAAUUUGUCAGCCUUCCGAGUGAGAAGAGAGAGUGAAUACAUAAAGACGGUGAUUGUCGAAUACGAUUUAUAGCGCUUUAAUAGAGGACAUGUAUAAUGUAUUGAAUGAGUAAUGCGGAUGUAUUAUAAGAAUAUAAUAAUUGUUGUGUUGAAAUAUCACCAUAACCUUCAGUCAUUACGAAUCGACAACAACAUCGACGGUAAAAUCAGCGACUAAUCAGUUUCCAUCGGUAAUUUCAUCGAAAUCAACCAUCACAACAACCUACACCGAUUUACUUCAGUGACUUUUUCAUAGUGGAUGGCAUAGAAAGAGUAGAUUUGGUUUUGGAGAAGUCGCGCAGCCAAUGUACACCAAGACUUCUGGAGGGAGAUCCAUCGUCAUCGAAUUAAAGAUUCAACAGUUACAGUAUUAGAACAACUACAACUCAAGUUGGACCAACUACAAACAACAUUCAACUACUACAACCACAUAGAGAUCAUUAACAAAAAUAACGUUGACUUGGGCAUGCGUAAAAAGUCACAAUUUUCGCCCUGGUGAUGGCGUUAAACUCACCAUAUACUCGCCGUCCAAAAAAAUACAAUUAACAACUGUAGCUGAAGACAAAUGUUGUCCAGCAUCUACACUGGAAAAGAUCAGGUGAAGAAAUAUGGGCGGCGAGUAUCCCGGCGACGGGAAAGUGGAUUGGUAUUGGAUAUGUAAGGUAUAUGAUUAUAAUAAGUUGAAUGAUCGACCUUUUAACUACCUAUGUAUCUAAUAUCAACCAUUAAUUAGAAUUAUUUAUAAAAUUAAAAUUUAAUAAGAAACAUAAAGUCAUGAUGGAUUUUUCUAAAAGAAAGCGAAAAUUUGUCCAGACUAAAACCCAAAAAUUAUGUCUCCUUUUUUUGGAGACAUUAAACCUAGGAUGCCUACCUCAAACAUGAUAUUUCUUUUACUAACCCGUGGUUGAUAACAAAAUAUGUUGUACAGCUGCUGGUGCAAGAAAAAUAAUUGAAAUAUCAUGGACAUCGUAUAAUUAGUGUAUUAGUUAAAACAAUUAGUAGAUGGGAAUUAAAUAAGAAUUGUAACUUUUAAGUCGUAACAAAACAGCAUUUUAAGGAGAUUCGAUACGUGUCGUUUUUAAGGAGUUCAAUAUAGGCAAUUUUCUGUGUUUGUGUGCUGGUUGUAUAAAUAUGUAGGUGAUCAUAAUAAUAUUAUGUGUGAGUGACUGUGUAUAAAAUAAAUAGCAGAGUGUUCCCGUACAUGAACGAACAUAUCAACAACGCAUGACACAAAUAUUAAUUGUUUUGUACUUUUUUGGUCAAAAGUAUCAAUCUUUUGCCAAUCAUAUUAAAUAACUUACUAUCCGAUAAAAUUUCUGAAAACCUAUUUGAAUUUGU